RNAcentral lists this ribosomal RNA (253 nucleotides) under uncultured bacterium. Its description in RNAcentral is "partial 16S ribosomal RNA". It matches the Rfam family "Bacterial small subunit ribosomal RNA", at positions 524 to 776 of the family's 1533-position model. The record is from RNAcentral.
UACGUAGGGGGCGAGCGUUGUCCGGAUUUAUUGGGCGUAAAGAGCGUGUAGGCGGUUCGGUAAGUCUGUCGUGAAAUCCUGAGGCUCAACCUCGGGCGUGCGAUGGAUACUGCCGGGCUAGAGGGUGGUAGAGGCGAGUGGAAUUCCCGGCGUAGCGGUGAAAUGCGCAGAUAUCGGGAGGAACACCAGUAGCGAAGGCGGCUCGCUGGGCCACACCUGACGCUGAGACGCGAAAGCUAGGGGAGCGAACAGG